RNAcentral lists this long non-coding RNA (395 nucleotides) under Olea europaea (common olive). RNAcentral describes it as "long non-coding RNA (OEUR_LNC015380)". The record is from RNAcentral. Lineage: Eukaryota; Viridiplantae; Streptophyta; Magnoliopsida; Lamiales; Oleaceae.
UCGAUUUAUAUUCUAUCGAAUUUAUUCCCCUUCUUUCAAAUGCAAAGAAUAAAUCAUCUACAAUCACAUAAUAAUUGGCCAAAUAAUUAUGGAAACAUUCAAAUCAUAUAAAUCAAACAUUUGUCCAAUCGAAACUAAUGUUGAAUUUAUGAAAUAACGGAAAUUUAAAUCAUCAAAAAGUUCAUCAAAUUCCUAAUGAACAAAAACCCUAGCCUAUAAUCAUCAUUGCAAAAUCAAGAAAUUGAAAAAACGAAAUUAAAAGAUAAUAAGAAUACACCCGUAUGGAAUUUCUUCAAUCCGUGUGUAUAAUCUUCAAUCCGUCUCGAGCCCGUGUGAAAUUGAAUCCAAAAUCAAGUUUCUUGCCUCCAAUUUUGGUCUCUUCCUUCUCCCUGGUC